This 212-nucleotide long non-coding RNA is filed under the name Elaeis guineensis (African oil palm). RNAcentral's name for it is "long non-coding RNA (EGUI_LNC043033)". Lineage: Eukaryota; Viridiplantae; Streptophyta; Magnoliopsida; Arecales; Arecaceae. The record is from RNAcentral.
UGCAAGAAACAUAAAGACACAUAAGAUAUAGCAGGGAAAAUUAGUCUUUAUUGCAUAUCAGAAAGUAAUACAAAAGAUUUCACAAUAAAAAGCACUAUCUAGAAAGAUUACAUAGAUUUUCUGAGGGAUGGAUGUCUGACGGGCCAUUGGGAUGCUUCUUGCUGAACCUUCAUCCUGAAACUCUGAGGACUUCCUUCCAAUGACUUGGAGCA